Molecule: long non-coding RNA, 330 nt
Filed under: Solanum tuberosum (potato)
Lineage: Eukaryota; Viridiplantae; Streptophyta; Magnoliopsida; Solanales; Solanaceae
Description: long non-coding RNA (STUB_LNC006545)
Source: RNAcentral
UUGCUCCGCGCUAACCCUCCCUAUUGCCAUUCCUGUAUAAGGGAUUCCCAAUGAACAUUGUCAAAGACUUUCUCGCUCACAGCUUAAUAUGAAGACUUCUAAGCUAAACAGAGAAGCCUCAAAGACCCAACAAACAAUUAGAAGUUGCUCGAAGUUUUCCUUCUUGGGGCAUUAGAUUAUAAUAAACAUUUGGUACCAAUAUUCCUGGAGGGGAAGAGAUAUUAUACCUCCUGACGUAAAGGAACUUCCAUCAGGAGUUUGAAUCUGCUUACUCUUUUAUAUUUCUGAUUAUUCAUUUGUUUAUGGCCCUUCUCAUUUUAGAUGCGUAGU